GUUCAAGUGACUCUAAGAGUCACUUGAACAGACUGCUAGGGAAGGAAGUCAUCAGGAGGAAAUCUGGACAUAGUUAGGAAAUGUGGAAGCAGUAAGAAGAUGCUGCUGGCGGAGCCUUGUCCUCACAAAGGACUUUGAUCGUCUCCAUAUCAGAAAUGCAGUGUGUGUGUGUGUGUGUGUGUGUUUAUGUAUUUAUCUACAUUCUUAGGUCAAUCGAACUUCAGAUGUGCAGAAAGAGUGCUCCGUUUGGAAGAAGUUCAACCUGACUUCUGAAUUCUGAGAUCACACUGCACAGCGUACAAGAUCAUCUUCCCUCAGCAGCCCCUCCUUCCUGCCUGAAUCCCUGGGAUAAGCCUUCUUGCUGCCACAACGAAAUAUCACAUACUAGGUGCUUUAAGUAGCAAAAAAUACCUUCUCUCACC
RNAcentral lists this long non-coding RNA (422 nucleotides) under Chinchilla lanigera (long-tailed chinchilla). RNAcentral describes it as "lncRNA (ENSCLAG00000023997.1)". Lineage: Eukaryota; Metazoa; Chordata; Mammalia; Rodentia; Chinchillidae. The record is from RNAcentral.